This 899-nucleotide ribosomal RNA is filed under the name Eomenopon denticulatum. RNAcentral's name for it is "12S ribosomal RNA". The record is from RNAcentral. Lineage: Eukaryota; Metazoa; Arthropoda; Insecta; Psocodea; Menoponidae.
UUUAUCUCAGGAAUGUGAAGGAGAGUAUUUUAAAAUCUAGACAUAGUUUGUAAGAUAUAACUUACUAUAAAUAACCGAUAAUUAGAGUAAAAUACACAACCUUAAUAAUUAUGUGCCAGCCUUAGCGGUAAUACAUAAAGGUUAUCUUCAUCAACAAAUGGAUACCUCAAGACAAAAUCUUUUAUUUCUUGGUUAAAUAUCAUGAAAUAAAUAAUCCUUUACCCUCAUCUUAAAAGUGGUUUCUAAACCAGGAUUAGAUACCCUGUUAUUCCACUUAAUAUAUUUAUCUUAUCAUUAUAAAAAUUAUUUUCUUAAGAAAUUCAUAUUAUAUGACAGUCGGGGACGAUUUCAGAUGAAUAUGUCUCAUAAAUGAUACCCCACAAAUAAUCUAGCUUAAACUAGCUCUCACCAUUCCCACCGCCGUCUAUGUAUUGGAUAAAACAUGUACAUAAAUUAGUUAUACACUAAGAUAAUCAGGUAAAGGUGAAGGUAAUGUUUAAGGAAAGAUGUAUUACAUUUAAUAUAAUAGUGAAUUCAACUUUAAAACACUGAAGAAAAUGAAUUUGAAAGUAAUAAAUUUUUAUAAUAAAUUUAUGAAUUAUCCUCUCCCCCUUGUACAACUCGCCCGUCACCCUCCAUGAAUUUAUAUAGAGGUAAGUCGAAACAUAGUAGGUAUACCGGAAGGUGUAUCUAUACCCCCCCCCUAAAAAAUACUAAAAAAAAAAUUUUUUUUGGGUGACACUUAGACUGUAUGUGUCUUCCAUUCCUGGAAAAAUUUAAGUUCAGUAGCUUGUAUACUUUAAAUACGAAUUUUUACAACAAAUAUAGUAGCUCAGACAGUACUAGAUAUAAAGGUAUGGUAAUAGAACAAAGACAUAAAGGUAUAAAUUUUCCGCUUC